CUCGGGUGACGAGCGGCGGACGGGUGAGUAAUGUCUGGGAAACUGCCUGAUGGAGGGGGAUAACUACUGGAAACGGUAGCUAAUACCGCAUAACGUCGCAAGACCGAAGUGGGGGACCUUCGGGCCUCAUGCCAUCAGAUGUGCCCAGAUGGGAUUAGCUAGUAGGUGGGGUAACGGCUCACCUAGGCCACGAUCCCUAGCUGGUCUGAGAGGAUGACCAGCCACACUGGAACUGAGACACGGUCCAGACUCCUACGGGAGGCAGCAGUGGGGAAUAUUGCACAAUGGGCGCAAGCCUGAUGCAGCCAUGCCGCGUGUGUGAAGAAGGCCUUCGGGUUGUAAAGCACUUUCAGCGGGGAGGAAGGCGUUAAGGUUAAUAACCUUGGCGAUUGACGUUACCCGCAGAAGAAGCACCGGCUAACUCCGUGCCAGCAGCCGCGGUAAUACGGAGGGUGCUAGCGUUAAUCGGAAUUACUGGGCGUAAAGCGCACGCAGGCGGUCUGUCAAGUCGGAUGUGAAAUCCCCGGGCUCAACCUGGGAACUGCAUUCGAAACUGGCAGGCUAGAGUCUUGUAGAGGGGGGUAGAAUUCCAGGUGUAGCGGUGAAAUGCGUAGAGAUCUGGAGGAAUACCGGUGGCGAAGGCGGCCCCCUGGACAAAGACUGACGCUCAGGUGCGAAAGCGUGGGGAGCAAACAGGAUUAGAUACCCUGGUAGUCCACGCCGUAAACGAUGUCGAUUUGGAGGUUGUGCCCUUGAGGCGUGGCUUCCGGAGCUAACGCGUUAAAU
RNAcentral lists this ribosomal RNA (786 nucleotides) under Klebsiella pneumoniae. Its description in RNAcentral is "bacterial SSU rRNA". It matches the Rfam family "Bacterial small subunit ribosomal RNA", at positions 83 to 865 of the family's 1533-position model. The record is from RNAcentral. Lineage: Bacteria; Pseudomonadati; Pseudomonadota; Gammaproteobacteria; Enterobacterales; Enterobacteriaceae.